RNAcentral lists this non-coding RNA (29 nucleotides) under Bombyx mori (domestic silkworm). The record is from RNAcentral. Lineage: Eukaryota; Metazoa; Arthropoda; Insecta; Lepidoptera; Bombycidae.
UAGAUUGGUACAACAACGUCGAGAAACGU